Molecule: RNA transcript, 2199 nt
Organism: Acinonyx jubatus (cheetah)
Lineage: Eukaryota; Metazoa; Chordata; Mammalia; Carnivora; Felidae
Gene: MOAP1
Gene name: modulator of apoptosis 1
Exons: 3
Source: RefSeq, a predicted model, not a curated record
UGGGCCGGGCGACUCCGGAGCUCCUCGGCCCGGUCCCCGGUGGCUCGCCGCGGACAGCAGCGCGGCUACGGGGCGGACCGCUGUACCCCGGUCGCGCCUGGCGGAGGAUAGCGGCGAGGGGCGCCCGCGGCCGCAGAGAGGGCCGCCGGUCGGGACGUUGACGGCACUUACCUGGGGUGCCGCAGAGAAACGCCGUGAAUUGCGGGGGCAUCAGUACCCCGGCCAAAUUAGAAUUUAAAUCCGUUGUUUUGAGCACCAUGACGCUGAGACUUUUAGAAGACUGGUGCAGGGGGAUGGAUGUGAACCCUCGGAAAGCGCUGUUGAUUGCCGGCAUCCCCCCGACCUGCACUGUGGCGGAAAUCGAGGAGGCUCUGCGGGCUGGUUUAGCGCCCUUGGGCGAGUACUCACUGCUGGGGAGGAUGUUCCGGCGGGUGGAGAACUGGAAUGUAGCCUUAGUAGGGCUAACCGAGGAGACUAGGCAUGCUCUGGUCCCUAAGGAGAUCCCUGGAAAAGGGGGUGUCUGGAGAGUGAUCUUUAAGCCUCCGGACCCGGAUAAUGAAUUUUUAAGCAGAUUAAACGAAUUCUUAGAGGGAGAGGGUACAACACUGGGUGAGUUGACCAGCGCUCUUGGAUAUGGAAACGACCGUUCCGACCUAGACCAGGACAGGAUCCCAGAAAUACAGGCCCCUAUAUUGGCACAGGCAUUAGAUGAGGCUCUUCAGCCUGCCCUGCAAUACCUGAAAUACAAAAAGCUGAGAGUGUUCUCAGGCAGCGAUCCUCCAGAACCAGGAGAAGAAGAAUUUGAAUCUUGGCUGUUUCAUACCACUCAGAUGAUGAAGACAUGGCAGGUGUCAGAUGCAGAGAAAAGAAGGCGAUUGCUAGAGAGCCUUAGAGGCCCAGCAUUUGAUGUUAUUCGAGUCCUUAAGAUAAACAAUCCUUCCAUUACAGUCGCUGAAUGCCUGCGGGCCCUUGAGCAGGUUUUUGGGGUUAUCGACAAUCCUAGGGAAUUGCAGGUCAGGUAUCUGACCACUUAUCAGAAGGAUGAAGAAAAACUGUCUGCUUACGUGUUAAGGUUGGAGCCUUUAUUACAGAAGCUGGUAGAGAGAGGAGCAAUCGAGAAAGAUGUUGUGAAUCAGGCCCGCCUAGACCAAAUCUUUGCCGGAGCAAUCCACAGAACGCUUCGCAGGAAGCUUCCCGUGCCAAAGGACGGCCCCGCCCCUGGCUUUUUGGAAUUACUGGCACUGAUAAAGGAUGAAGAGGCAGCUGAGGAGGAGGAGGCCCUUCUCCAGGCAGGGUUAAAAGGGCAUUUCUCCUGAAUCUUAGGAAACCAGGAAGAGACAGCCGGCCGCAAGCAUGAAGCAUGAAGAUUCCAAGAGAGAUUUCAUCUGAACAUACGGUUCCAGCAGCGCCUGGGUGGCUCCAUCCGAUAAGCAUCCAUCUUCGGCUCCGGUGAUGAUCUCACAGCUCUCCUGAGUUCAAGCCCUGCUUCAGGCUCUGUGCUGACAGCUCGGAGCCUGGAGCCUGCUUCAGAUUCUGUGUCUCCUCUCUCUGCCCAUCCCCCCCUUGUGCUCUGUCUCUCUCUGUCUCUAAAUGAAUGAAUGAAUGAAUGAAUGAAUGUAUCUUGGGCGCCUGGGUGGCUCAGUAGAUUGAGUGUCCAACUUCAGCUUAGGUCAUGUUCUCACAGUUCGUGAGUUUGGGCCCCACCGUGGGCUCUGUGCUGACAGCUCAGAGCCUGGAGCCUGCUUCGGAUUCUGUCUCCCUCUCUCCCUCUGCCCCUCCCCUGCUUGUGCUCUGUCUCUCUUUCUCUCUUAAAAAUAAACAAACAUUAAAAAAAAAAAGAAGAAGUAGGAGAUACACGGGACGCCUGGGUGGCUCAGUCGGUUAAGCGUCUGACUUCGACUCAGGUGAGUUCAAGCCCCACGUCGGGCUCUGUGCUGACAGCUCAGAGCCUGGAGCCUGUUUCAGAUUCCAUGUCUCCCUCUCUCUCUGCCCCUCUCCCGCUCGUGUUCUGUCUCUGUCUCUGUCUCUCUCUCAAAAAUAAACAAAAAAAGGGUUCCAAAAGCAUAAAUCUGAAAAACACCAGGGUUAACACAAUCUUACUCCCUUGGAUAUUUUCCUCUUAGUGCCAAGGGGUAGGGAGUAGUUUUCUAAGUGAGAUUGCCAAAGGGACCUUGUAUUGAUGCACAGUGGAAUGAACAA